AGCUUGCUGAUGAGUGCCAAGUAGCACGAAACCCGAGUCCAGGGU
This 45-nucleotide non-coding RNA is filed under the name Schistosoma mattheei. Lineage: Eukaryota; Metazoa; Platyhelminthes; Trematoda; Strigeidida; Schistosomatidae. The record is from RNAcentral.